Molecule: ribosomal RNA, 218 nt
Filed under: Lacticaseibacillus casei
Lineage: Bacteria; Bacillati; Bacillota; Bacilli; Lactobacillales; Lactobacillaceae
Description: Lactobacillus casei partial 16S ribosomal RNA
Rfam family: Bacterial small subunit ribosomal RNA
Source: RNAcentral
GUCGGAAUCGCUAGUAAUCGCGGAUCAGCACGCCGCGGUGAAUACGUUCCCGGGCCUUGUACACACCGCCCGUCACACCAUGAGAGUUUGUAACACCCGAAGCCGGUGGCGUAACCCUUUUAGGGAGCGAGCCGUCUAAGGUGGGACAAAUGAUUAGGGUGAAGUCGUAACAAGGUAGCCGUAGGAGAACCUGCGGCUGGAUCACCUCCUUUCUAAGG